RNAcentral lists this transfer RNA (85 nucleotides) under Felis catus (domestic cat). It matches the Rfam family "tRNA". Rfam says of the family: Transfer RNA (tRNA) molecules are approximately 80 nucleotides in length. Their secondary structure includes four short double-helical elements and three loops (D, anti-codon, and T loops). Further hydrogen bonds mediate the characteristic L-shaped molecular structure. tRNAs have two regions of fundamental functional importance: the anti-codon, which is responsible for specific mRNA codon recognition, and the 3' end, to which the tRNAs corresponding amino acid is attached (by aminoacyl-tRNA synthetases). tRNAs cope with the degeneracy of the genetic code in two manners: having more than one tRNA (with a specific anti-codon) for a particular amino acid; and 'wobble' base-pairing, i.e. permitting non-standard base-pairing at the 3rd anti-codon position. Lineage: Eukaryota; Metazoa; Chordata; Mammalia; Carnivora; Felidae. RNAcentral also lists the same sequence under 2 other names. The record is from Rfam by way of RNAcentral.
GCCUGGGUGGCUCAGUUGGUUGAGCUUCUGAUUUCGGCUCAGGUCAUGAUCUUGUGGUUUGUGGGUUCGAGCCCCGUGUCGGGCU